RNAcentral lists this ribosomal RNA (301 nucleotides) under uncultured bacterium. Its description in RNAcentral is "partial 16S ribosomal RNA". It matches the Rfam family "Bacterial small subunit ribosomal RNA", at positions 509 to 808 of the family's 1533-position model. The record is from RNAcentral.
CAGUCGCCACGGUAAUACGAACCGUGCGAACGUUAUUCGGAAUUACUGGGCUUAAAGCGCGUGUAGGCGGGCCGCCACGUCGGUUGCUGAAAGCCCCCGGCUCAACCGGGGAGGGUCAUUGGAAACUGGGAAACUUGAGUGCAGAAGAGGAGAGUGGAAUUCCACGUGUAGCGGUGAAAUGCGUAGAGAUGUGGAGGAACACCAGUGGCGAAGGCGACUCUCUGGUCUGUAACUGACGCUGGGGAGCGAAAGCGUGGGGAGCGAACAGGAUUAGAUACCCCAGUAGUCCCUGUCUCUUAUA